This 467-nucleotide ribosomal RNA is filed under the name uncultured bacterium. RNAcentral describes it as "partial 16S ribosomal RNA". It matches the Rfam family "Bacterial small subunit ribosomal RNA", at positions 28 to 507 of the family's 1533-position model. The record is from RNAcentral.
GACGAACGCUGGCGGCGUGCUUAACACAUGCAAGUCGAACGGAAAGGCCCUGCUUUUGUGGGGUGCUCGAGUGGCGAACGGGUGAGUAACACGUGAGUAACCUGCCCUUGACUUUGGGAUAACUUCAGGAGACUGGGGCUAAUACCGGAUAGGAGCUCCUGCUGCAUGGUGGGGGUUGGAAAGUUUCGGCGGUUGGGGAUGGACUCGCGGCUUAUCAGCUUGUUGGUGGGGUAGUGGCUUACCAAGGCUUUGACGGGUAGCCGGCCUGAGAGGGUGACCGGCCACAUUGGGACUGAGAUACGGCCAGACUCCUACGGGAGGCAGCAGUGGGGAAUAUUGCACAAUGGGCGGAAGCCUGAUGCAGCAACGCCGCGUGCGGGAUGACGGCCUUCGGGUUGUAACCCGCUUUCGCCUGUGACGAAGCGUGAGUGACGGUAAUGGGUAAAGAAGCACCGGCUAACUACGUG